UACAGAGGGUGCGAGCGUUGUCCGGAAUCACUGGGCGUAAAGCGCACGUAGGCGGCAUUGCAAGUCGGAUGUGAAAUCUUAUGGCUUAACCAUAAAAGUGCAUCCGAAACUGCAGUGCUUGAGUACUUAAGAGGAUCGCGGAAUUCCCGGUGUAGAGGUGAAAUUCGUAGAUAUCGGGAGGAACACCAGUGGCGAAGGCGGCGAUCUGGGAAGAUACUGACGCUGAGGUGCGAAAGCGUGGGGAGCAAACAGG
RNAcentral lists this ribosomal RNA (253 nucleotides) under uncultured bacterium. Its description in RNAcentral is "partial 16S ribosomal RNA". It matches the Rfam family "Bacterial small subunit ribosomal RNA", at positions 524 to 776 of the family's 1533-position model. The record is from RNAcentral.